GUGGGGAAUCUUAGACAAUGGGCGCAAGCCUGAUCUAGCCAUGCCGCGUGAUCGAUGAAGGCCUUAGGGUUGUAAAGAUCUUUCAGUGGGGAAGAUAAUGACUGUACCCACAGAAGAAGCCCCGGCUAACUCCGUGCCAGCAGCCGCGGUAAUACGGAGGGGGCUAGCGUUGUUCGGAAUUACUGGGCGUAAAGCGCACGUAGGCGGAACAGAAAGUCAGAGGUGAAAUCCAAGGGCUCAACCUUGGAACUGCCUUUGAAACUCCUGUGCUUGAGUACGAGAGAGGUGAGUGGAAUUCCGGGUGUAGAGGUGAAAUUCGUAGAUAUCCGGAGGAACACCAGUAGCGAAGGCGGCUUCCUGGACAGUAACUGACGCUGAGACGCGAAAGCGUGGAGAGCAAACAGGAUUAGAUACCCUUGUAGUCC
RNAcentral lists this ribosomal RNA (425 nucleotides) under uncultured bacterium. Its description in RNAcentral is "bacterial SSU rRNA". It matches the Rfam family "Bacterial small subunit ribosomal RNA", at positions 354 to 796 of the family's 1533-position model. The record is from RNAcentral.